UGGGGAAUAUUGCACAAUGGGCGCAAGCCUGAUGCAGCCAUGCCGCGUGUAUGAAGAAGGCCUUCGGGUUGUAAAGUACUUUCAGCGGGGAGGAAGGGAGUAAAGUUAAUACCUUUGCUCAUUGACGUUACCCGCAGAAGAAGCACCGGCUAACUCCGUGCCAGCAGCCGCGGUAAUACGGAGGGUGCAAGCGUUAAUCGGAAUUACUGGGCGUAAAGCGCACGCAGGCGGUUUGUUAAGUCAGAUGUGAAAUCCUCGGGCUCAACCUGGGAACUGCAUCUGAUACUGGCAAGCUUGAGUCUCGUAGAGGGGGGUAGAAUUCCAUGUGUAGCGGUGAAAUGCGUAGAGAUGUGGAGGAAUACCGGUGGCGAAGGCGGCCCCCUGGACAAAGACUGACGCUCAGGUGCGAAAGCGUGGGGAGCAAACAGG
RNAcentral lists this ribosomal RNA (429 nucleotides) under Chloroflexota bacterium. RNAcentral describes it as "Chloroflexi bacterium partial 16S ribosomal RNA". It matches the Rfam family "Bacterial small subunit ribosomal RNA", at positions 355 to 776 of the family's 1533-position model. Lineage: Bacteria; Bacillati; Chloroflexota. The record is from RNAcentral.